Molecule: ribosomal RNA, 497 nt
Filed under: uncultured bacterium
Lineage: Bacteria
Description: partial 16S ribosomal RNA
Rfam family: Bacterial small subunit ribosomal RNA
Source: RNAcentral
GAUGAACGCUGGCGGCGUGCCUAAUACAUGCAAGUCGAGCGAACGGACGAGAAGCUUGCUUCUCUGAUGUUAGCGGAGGACGGGUGAGUAACGCGUGGAUACCCUACCUAUCAGACUGGGAAAACUUCGGGAAACGGGAGAUAAUCCCGGAUAAUAUUUUGAACCGCAUGGUGCAAAAGUGAAAGACGGUGUUGGUGGCACUAAUCGCUGGAUCCGCGCUGCAUUAGCUAGUUGGUAAGGUAAAGGCUUAUGAAGGGGAGGAGGCAUAUCCGACCUGAGGGGGUGAUAGGCCACACUGGAACGUGGACACGCUCCUGGCGCCUACGAGAGGCACCAGUAGCGAAUCUUCCGCAAUAGUCGAAAGCCUGGCGGAGCGGCGCCGCGUGAGUGAUGGAGGUCUUCGGAUCGUAAAACCCUGUUAUUAGGGAAGAACAUAUGUGUAAGGAGCUGUGCACAGCGUGACGGUACCUAAUCAGAAAGCCCCGGCUAACUACGUG